Salvia hispanica is the source of this 899-nucleotide long non-coding RNA. RefSeq lists it as uncharacterized. The record is from RefSeq and is a predicted model, not a curated record. NCBI's taxonomy places the organism in Eukaryota, Viridiplantae, Streptophyta, Magnoliopsida, Lamiales, Lamiaceae.
CAUUAAAAAGGGCGAGUUUGACGAGUCAAGAGCGCUGACUCAACUCGGAAGAAAGACAGGGAGGGACGUAUUCUACUGGUUACUCCGUCUAUAACAUCGACAUCGCGAGGAUCAAUAGUGUUCGGCGGCGGAUGGCGAGAACGUUUUUGUACUUGAUUCUCUGCGGUGAGUGUCGGCGUCGGCGUCGGCGUCGGUUAAUUUGUGAGAAAACUGAAGAAACAGGUUGUACCCUAUGAAAGGCCUGCAUUAAGCAAAGGAUAUUUACUUCCUCAAGCUCAAGCACGCGUUCCUUCAUUUCACUGGUGUGUGGGUACCAAACUACCAAUGGCUAAAGGCUGACUCCACGAGGGUACAAGGAACAUGGUAAAUCCAUGUUAGCAUACUGGUUAUUGUGGAGCAACUUGGGUCUUGAUUGCGGCCAAGAACCUGGUAGCUUGUGUGCUCAUUAUUAUAUAAGAAGUUGAGUUUGAGACCCUUCCUGAGGAAUUCAAUCCGUUUGUUUGCUUUUGAUUUAGUUUGGAGAUUCGUAAACAUGUGAUGUGGAGUAUACGAUUGUUGGAUUCAGUACUAUUUACUCAUCAACUGUACUUCUUCAGGUAUUGAGUUGAUUCUUGGAACUAGACUUCAGUUUUGUUGAUUUGAUUAUGUGAAGUGGAAGAUAUUGCUAACUGCAAAAAGGAGAAACCAUAAGAUAAUAUAUCAUAGUUCAUUUCAUGUAAUGUACUAAUGUGUUCAUUUUGCCUUUGGUUGUUCAAGAACUCGCGAGAAUGUAUUGUCGAAAAAUUGGAGUUCAGUUACUCUUAAAUUAUGGUCAUACAUUCAAGUUGUAAACCCAAUUUCGAUUUGUAUGACCUUGUGUGAAACACCUUUUACAGAUCAUGAAGGAACCAUUGCUUUAA